RNAcentral lists this ribosomal RNA (497 nucleotides) under uncultured bacterium. RNAcentral describes it as "partial 16S ribosomal RNA". It matches the Rfam family "Bacterial small subunit ribosomal RNA", at positions 28 to 507 of the family's 1533-position model. The record is from RNAcentral.
GAUGAACGCUGGCGGCGUGCCUAAUACAUGCAAGUCGAGCGAACAGACGAGGAGCUUGCUCCUCUGACGUUAGCGGCGGACGGGUGAGUAACACGUGGAUAACCUACCUAUAAGACUGGGAUAACUUCGGGAAACCGGAGCUAAUACCGGAUAAUAUAUUGAACCGCAUGGUUCAAUAGUGAAAGACGGUUUUGCUGUCACUUAUAGAUGGAUCCGCGCCGCAUUAGCUAGUUGGUAAGGUAACGGCUUACCAAGGCAACGAUGCGUAGCCGACCUGAGAGGGUGAUCGGCCACACUGGAACUGAGACACGGUCCAGACUCCUACGGGAGGCAGCAGUAGGGAAUCUUCCGCAAUGGGGGAAAGCCUGUCGGAGCAACGCCGCGUGAGUGAUGAAGGUCUUCGGAUCGUAAAACUCUGUUAUUAGGGAAGAACAAAUGUGUAAGUAACUAUGCACGUCUUGACGGUACCUAAUCAGAAAGCCACGGCUAACUACGUG